UUUCCGUAGGUGAACCUGCGGAAGGAUCAUUAAAAAUAAAGCCGGGAAACCGGUCCUUCUAACCCUUGAUUAUCUUAAUUUGUUGCUUUGGUGGGCCGCGCAAGCACCGGCUUCGGCUGGAUCGUGCCCGCCAGAGGACACAACUCUGUAUCAAAUGUCGUCUGAGUACUAUAAAAUAGUUAAAACUUUCAACAACGGAUCUCUUGGUUCUG
RNAcentral lists this unclassified non-coding RNA (212 nucleotides) under plant metagenome. RNAcentral describes it as "partial contains small subunit ribosomal RNA, internal transcribed spacer 1, and 5.8S ribosomal RNA". The record is from RNAcentral.